GAUGAACGCUAGCGGCAGGCCUAACACAUGCAAGUCGAGGGGUAGAGUGCUUCGGCACUUGAGACCGGCGCACGGGUGCGUAACACGUGUACAAUCUACCUUUUGCUAAGGGAUAGCCCGAAGAAAUUUGGAUUAAUACCUUAUAGUAUUGUUUGGUGGCAUCACUAAAUAAUUAAAGCUCUGGUGGCAAAAGAUGAGUACGCGUCCCAUUAGCUAGUUGGUGUGGUAACGGCAUACCAAGGCUACGAUGGGUAGGGGUCCUGAGAGGGAGGUCCCCCACACUGGUACUGAGACACGGACCAGACUCCUACGGGAGGCAGCAGUGAGGAAUAUUGGACAAUGGUCGGAAGACUGAUCCAGCCAUGCCGCGUGCAGGAUGACGGCCUUAUGGGUUGUAAACUGCUUUUAUACAGGAAGAAUAAGGUCUACGAGUAGAUUGAUGACGGUACUGUAUGAAUAAGCAUCGGCUAACUCCGUGCCAGCAGCCGCGGUAAUACGGAGGAUGCGAGCGUUAUCCGGAAUCAUUGGGUUUAAAGGGUCCGUAGGCGGGCUUAUAAGUCAGAGGUGAAAGCACUGAGCUCAACUGAGUAACUGCCUUUGAAACUGUAGGUCUUGAAUGUUUGUGAAGUAGCUGGAAUGUGUAGUGUAGCGGUGAAAUGCAUAGAUAUUACACAGAACACCGAUUGCGAAGGCAUGUUACUAACAAAUUAUUGACGCUGAUGGACGAAAGCGUGGGGAGCGAACAGGAUUAGAUACCCUGGUAGUCCACGCUGUAAACGAUGGAUACUAGCUGUUUGGAAGUAAUUUUGAGUGGCUAAGCGAAAGUGAUAAGUAUCCCACCUGGGGAGUACGCACGCAAGUGUGAAACUCAAAGGAAUUGACGGGGGCCCGCACAAGCGGUGGAGCAUGUGGUUUAAUUCGAUGAUACGCGAGGAACCUUACCAAGGUUUAAAUGGGAAACGACGUAUCUAGAGAUAGAUAUUUCUUCGGACGUUUUUCAAGGUGCUGCAUGGUUGUCGUCAGCUCGUGCCGUGAGGUGUCAGGUUAAGUCCUAUAACGAGCGCAACCCCUGCGAAUAGUUGCCAUCAUUAAGUUGGGCACUCUAUUUGGACUGCCGGUGCAAACCGUGAGGAAGGUGGGGAUGACGUCAAAUCAUCACGGCCCUUACA
This 1169-nucleotide ribosomal RNA is filed under the name Capnocytophaga canimorsus. RNAcentral describes it as "bacterial SSU rRNA". It matches the Rfam family "Bacterial small subunit ribosomal RNA", at positions 28 to 1206 of the family's 1533-position model. Lineage: Bacteria; Pseudomonadati; Bacteroidota; Flavobacteriia; Flavobacteriales; Flavobacteriaceae. The record is from RNAcentral.